GAGAGACACGGAGAGACGACAGAGACACGCAGAGACGACAGAGACACGGACAGACGACAGAGACACGGAGAGACGACAGAGACACGGAGAGACGACAGAGACACGGACAGACGACAGAGACACGGACAGACGACAGAGACACGGAGAGACGACAGAGACACGGACAGACGACAGAGACACGCAGAGACGACAGAGACACGCAGAGACGACAGAGACACGGAGAGACGACAGAGACACGGACAGACGACAGAGACACGCAGAGACGACAGAGACACGGACAGACGACAGAGACACGCAGAGACGACAGAGACACGCAGAGACGACAGAGACACGGACAGACGACAGAGACACGCAGAGACGACAGAGACACGCAGAGACGACAGAGACACGCAGAGACGACAGAGACACGCAGAGACGACAGAGACACGGACAGACGACAGAGACACGGACAGACGACAGAGACACGGACAGACAGCAUUGAUUCUCAGACGCCAAAGGCGUCACCAGUGGAUCUUCUUUAGCGUGAGCUUCACAUUUCAACUGUUCCACCGUCUUUCGAGCAUCAGCAAUCUUUGCCAUGUUGUUGGACAUCACUGUCUGUGGUCAGCCUGAGGGCAAAGGUCAGA
This is a long non-coding RNA of Solea solea (common sole), 626 nucleotides long. RefSeq lists it as uncharacterized. The record is from RefSeq and is a predicted model, not a curated record. The transcript has 3 exons. NCBI's taxonomy places the organism in Eukaryota, Metazoa, Chordata, Actinopteri, Pleuronectiformes, Soleidae.